Molecule: ribosomal RNA, 120 nt
Filed under: Castor canadensis (American beaver)
Lineage: Eukaryota; Metazoa; Chordata; Mammalia; Rodentia; Castoridae
Source: RNAcentral
GUCUACGGCCAUACCACCCUGAACCUGCCCGAUCUCAUCUGAUCUCGGAAGCUAAGCAGGGUCGGGUCUGGUUAGUACUUGGAUGGGAGACCUGAGCAGGAACCAGGAAAUGUCAAGGCU